This 404-nucleotide ribosomal RNA is filed under the name uncultured bacterium. RNAcentral describes it as "partial 16S ribosomal RNA". It matches the Rfam family "Bacterial small subunit ribosomal RNA", at positions 355 to 776 of the family's 1533-position model. The record is from RNAcentral.
UGGGGAAUACUGGGCAAUGGAGGAAACUCUGACCUGGCGACGUCGCGUGGCUGAUGAAGGUUUUAGGACUGUAAAGGCCUUUUACUCGGAAAAAUGAUGAUUCUACCGAGAGAAGAAGUCCCGGCUAACUUCGUGCCAGCAGCCGCGGUAAUACGAGGGGGACAAGUGUUGUUCGGAAUGAUUGGGCGUAAAGGGUGCGUAGGCGGCCGUGUAAGUGAUGUGUGAAAGCCUCAGGCUCAACCUGAGAAGUGCGCUUCAUACUGCACGGCUAGAGUUCGAUAGAGGAAACGGGAAUUCCUAGUGUAGAGGUGAAAUUCACAGAUAUUAGGAGGAACACCAAAGGCGAAGGCAAGUUUCUGGGUCGACACUGACGCUGAGGCACGAAAGCGUGGGUAGCAAACAGG